RNAcentral lists this transfer RNA (73 nucleotides) under Marmota monax (woodchuck). RNAcentral's name for it is "tRNA.Ala". The stretch from base 8 to 68 matches the Rfam family "tRNA", at positions 6 to 65 of the family's 71-position model. From Rfam's summary of the family: Transfer RNA (tRNA) molecules are approximately 80 nucleotides in length. Their secondary structure includes four short double-helical elements and three loops (D, anti-codon, and T loops). Lineage: Eukaryota; Metazoa; Chordata; Mammalia; Rodentia; Sciuridae. The record is from RNAcentral.
GUGGGGCUGUGGCUCAGUGGCAGAGCGCUCGCCUAGCUCGUGUGAGGCACUGGGUUCGAUUCUCAGCAUCACA